GACGAACGCUGGCGGCGUGCUUAACACAUGCAAGUCGAACGGUAAGGCCCUUCGGGGUACACGAGUGGCGAACGGGUGAGUAACACGUGGGUGAUCUGCCCUGCACUUCGGGAUAAGCCUGGGAAACUGGGUCUAAUACCGGAUAGGACCACUGCCUGCAUGGGUGGUGGUGGAAAGCUUUUGCGGUGUGGGAUGGGCCCGCGGCCUAUCAGCUUGUUGGGGGGGUGAUGGCCUACCAAGGCGACGACGGGUAGCCGGCCUGAGAGGGUGACCGGCCACACUGGGACUGGGAUACGGCCCAGACUCCUACGGGAGGCAGCAGUAGGGAAUAUUGCACAAUGGGCGCAAGCCUGAUGCAGCGACGCCGCGUGAGGGAUGACGGCCUUCGGGUUGUAAACCUCUUUCAGCACCGACGAAGCGCAAGUGACGGUAGGUGCAGAAGAAGGACCGGCCAACUACGUGCCAGCCGCCGCGGUAA
Molecule: ribosomal RNA, 478 nt
Filed under: uncultured bacterium
Lineage: Bacteria
Description: partial 16S ribosomal RNA
Rfam family: Bacterial small subunit ribosomal RNA
Source: RNAcentral